GUGAACGCUGGCGGUAGGCCUAACCCAUGCAAGUCGAACGGCAGCACAGUAAGAGCUUGCUCUUACGGGUGGCGAGUGGCGGACGGGUGAGGAAUACAUCGGAAUCUACUUUUUCGUGGGGGAUAACGUAGGGAAACUUACGCUAAUACCGCAUACGACCUACGGGUGAAAGCAGGGGAUCUUCGGACCUUGCGCGAUUGAAUGAGCCGAUGUCGGAUUAGCUAGUCGGCGGGGUAAAGGCCCACCAAGGCGACGAUCCGUAGCUGGUCUGAGAGGAUGAUCAGCCACACUGGAACUGAGACACGGUCCAGACUCCUACGGGAGGCAGCAGUGGGGAAUAUUGGACAAUGGGCGCAAGCCUGAUCCAGCCAUACCGCGUGGGUGAAGAAGGCCUUCGGGUUGUAAAGCCCUUUUGUUGGGAAAGAAAAGCAGCAGGUUAAUACCCCGCUGUUCUGACGGUACCCAAAGAAUAAGCACCGGCUAACUUCGUG
This 491-nucleotide ribosomal RNA is filed under the name uncultured bacterium. RNAcentral describes it as "partial 16S ribosomal RNA". It matches the Rfam family "Bacterial small subunit ribosomal RNA", at positions 29 to 507 of the family's 1533-position model. The record is from RNAcentral.